RNAcentral lists this ribosomal RNA (253 nucleotides) under uncultured bacterium. RNAcentral's name for it is "partial 16S ribosomal RNA". It matches the Rfam family "Bacterial small subunit ribosomal RNA", at positions 524 to 776 of the family's 1533-position model. The record is from RNAcentral.
UACGGAGGGGGCUAGCGUUGUUCGGAAUUACUGGGCGUAAAGCGCACGUAGGCGGAUCGAUCAGUCAGGGGUGAAAUCCCAGAGCUCAACUCUGGAACUGCCUUUGAUACUGUCGAUCUAGAGUAUGGAAGAGGUGAGUGGAAUUCCGAGUGUAGAGGUGAAAUUCGUAGAUAUUCGGAGGAACACCAGUGGCGAAGGCGGCUCACUGGCCCGAUACUGACGCUGAGGUGCGAAAGCGUGGGGAGCAAACAGG